ACGCUGGCGGCGUGCCUAAUACAUGCAAGUAGAACGCUGAAGGAGGAGCUUGCUUCUCCGGAUGAGUUGCGAACGGGUGAGUAACGCGUAGGUAACCUGCCUGGUAGCGGGGGAUAACUAUUGGAAACGAUAGCUAAUACCGCAUAAUAGCAGAUGUUGCAUGACAUUUGCUUAAAAGGUGCAAUUGCAUCACUACCAGAUGGACCUGCGUUGUAUUAGCUAGUUGGUGGGGUAACGGCUCACCAAGGCGACGAUACAUAGCCGACCUGAGAGGGUGAUCGGCCACACUGGGACUGAGACACGGCCCAGACUCCUACGGGAGGCAGCAGUAGGGAAUCUUCGGCAAUGGACGGAAGUCUGACCGAGCAACGCCGCGUGAGUGAAGAAGGUUUUCGGAUCGUAAAGCUCUGUUGUAAGAGAAGAACGAGUGUGAGAGUGGAAAGUUCACACUGUGACGGUAUCUUACCAGAAAGGGACGGCUAACUACGUGCCAGCAGCCGCGGUAAUACGUAGGUCCCGAGCGUUGUCCGGAUUUAUUGGGCGUAAAGCGAGCGCAGGCGGUUAGAUAAGUCUGAAGUUAAAGGCUGUGGCUUAACCAUAGUACGCUUUGGAAACUGUUUAACUUGAGUGCAAGAGGGGAGAGUGGAAUUCCAUGUGUAGCGGUGAAAUGCGUAGAUAUAUGGAGGAACACCGGUGGCGAAAGCGGCUCUCUGGCUUGUAACUGACGCUGAGGCUCGAAAGCGUGGGGAGCAAACAGGAUUAGAUACCCCGGUAGUCCACGCCGUAAACGAUGAGUGCUAGGUGUUAGACCCUUUCCGGGGUUUAGUGCCGCAGCUAACGCAUUAAGCACUCCGCCUGGGGAGUACGACCGCAAGGUUGAAACUCAAAGGAAUUGACGGGGGCCCGCACAAGCGG
RNAcentral lists this ribosomal RNA (915 nucleotides) under uncultured bacterium. RNAcentral describes it as "bacterial SSU rRNA". It matches the Rfam family "Bacterial small subunit ribosomal RNA", at positions 33 to 932 of the family's 1533-position model. The record is from RNAcentral.